Molecule: ribosomal RNA, 505 nt
Filed under: uncultured bacterium
Lineage: Bacteria
Description: bacterial SSU rRNA
Rfam family: Bacterial small subunit ribosomal RNA
Source: RNAcentral
AGGACGAACGCUGGCGGCGUGCCUAACACAUGCAAGUCGAGCGGGGACAUGCGACGGAGUCGAAGUUUCGGAUGGAGACAAAGAUGUAUUGUUCUAGCGGCGGACGGGUGAGUAACGCGUGAGCAACCUGUCCCUUACAGGGGGAUAACACAGCGAAAGUUGUACUAAUACCGCAUAAGACCACAGAGUGACAUCGCUCAGGGGUCAAAGGAGCAAUCCGGUAAGGGGUGGGCUCGCGUCCGAUUAGAUAGUUGGUGAGGUAACGGCCCACCAAGUCGACGAUCGGUAGCCGACCUGAGAGGGUGAUCGGCCACAUUGGGACUGAGACACGGCCCAAACUCCUACGGGAGGCAGCAGUGGGGAAUAUUGGGCAAUGGGGGAAACCCUGACCCAGCAACGCCGCGUGAGGGAAGAAGGUUUUCGGAUCGUAAACCUCUGUCCUUGGUGAAGAGGAAGAGACGGUAGCCAAGGAGGAAGCCCCGGCUAACUACGUGCCAGCCGCCGC